Molecule: ribosomal RNA, 396 nt
Filed under: uncultured bacterium
Lineage: Bacteria
Description: partial 16S ribosomal RNA
Rfam family: Bacterial small subunit ribosomal RNA
Source: RNAcentral
AUACGUAGGGAGCGAGCGUUGUCCGGAAUUACUGGGUGUAAAGGGAGCGUAGGCGGGACUGCAAGUCAGAUGUGAAAUACCGGGGCUUAACCCCGGAGCUGCAUUUGAAACUGUGGUUCUUGAGGGAAGUAGAGGCAAGUGGAAUUACCAGUGUAGCGGUUAAAUGCGUAGAGAUUGGGAGGAACACCAGUGGCGAAGGCGACUUACUGGGCCGUAACUGACGCUGAGGCGCGAAAGCGUGGGGAGCGAACAGGAUUAGAUACCCUGGUAGUCCACGCGGUAAACGAUGAAUGCCAGGUGUUGCGGGUAUCGACCCCUGCAGUGCCGGAGUAAACACAAUAAGCAUUCCGCCUGGGGAGUACGGCCGCAAGGUUGAAACUCAAAUGAAUUGACGGG